AGAGUUUGAUCAUGGCUCAGAAUCAACGCUGGCGGCGUGCCUAACACAUGCAAGUCGAACGCGAAAGUCCCACAAGGGAUGAGUAGAGUGGCAAACGGGUGAGUAACACGUGGGUGACCUGCCUUCGAGCGGGGGAUAACGUCCCGAAAGGGACGCUAAUACCGCAUGACAUCCUGCCUUUGAAGAGGCGGAGAUCAAAGCUGGGGAUCGCAAGACCUAGCACUCGAAGAGGGGCCCGCGCCUGAUUAGCUAGUUGGUGGGGUAACGGCUCACCAAGGCGACGAUCAGUAGCCGGCCUGAGAGGGCGGACGGCCACACUGGGACUGAGACACGGCCCAGACUCCUACGGGAGGCAGCAGUGGGGAAUUGUUCGCAAUGGGCGCAAGCCUGACGACGCAACGCCGCGUGGAGGACGAAGACCUUCGGGUCGUAAACUCCUUUCGAUCGAGACGAAUAGCCUCCGGGUGAACAAUCCGGAGGAAUGACGGUACCGAGAGAAGAAGCCCCGGCUAACUCCGUGCCAGCAGCCGCGGUAAUACGGGGGGGGCAAGCGUUGUUCGGAAUUACUGGGCGUAAAGGGCUCGUAGGUGGCCAACUAAGUCAGACGUGAAAUCCCUCGGCUUAACCGGGGAACUGCGUCUGAUACUGGAUGGCUUGAGUUUGGGAGAGGGAUGCGGAAUUCCAGGUGUAGCGGUGAAAUGCGUAGAUAUCUGGAGGAACACCGGUGGCGAAGGCGGCAUCCUGGACCAACACUGACACUGAGGAGCGAAAGCCAGGGGAGCAAACGGGAUUAGAUACCCCUGUAGUCC
RNAcentral lists this ribosomal RNA (809 nucleotides) under uncultured Acidobacteriota bacterium. RNAcentral's name for it is "bacterial SSU rRNA". It matches the Rfam family "Bacterial small subunit ribosomal RNA", at positions 8 to 796 of the family's 1533-position model. Lineage: Bacteria; Pseudomonadati; Acidobacteriota. The record is from RNAcentral.